RNAcentral lists this ribosomal RNA (433 nucleotides) under uncultured bacterium. Its description in RNAcentral is "partial 16S ribosomal RNA". It matches the Rfam family "Bacterial small subunit ribosomal RNA", at positions 29 to 507 of the family's 1533-position model. The record is from RNAcentral.
AACGAACGCUGGCGGCAUGCCUAACACAUGCGAGUCGAACGAGACCUUCGGGUCUAGUGGCGCACGGGUGCGUAACGCGUGGGAACCUGCCCUUAGGUUCGGAAUAACUCCCCGAAAGGGGUGCUAAUACCGGAUAAUGUCUUCGGACCAAAGAUUUAUCGCCUUUGGAUGGGCCCGCGUUGGAUUAGCUAGUUGGUAGGGUAAAAGCCUACCAAGGCGACGAUCCAUAGCUGGUCUGAGAGGAUGAUCAGCAACACUGGGACUGAGACACGGCCCAGACUCCUACGGGAGGCAGCAGUGGGGAAUAUUGGACAAUGGGCGAAAGCCUGAUCCAGCAAUGCCGCGUGAGUGAUGAAGGCCUUAGGGUUGUAAAGCUCUUUUACCCGGGAUGAUAAUGACAGUACCGGGAGAAUAAGCUCCGGCUAACUCCGUG